This 484-nucleotide ribosomal RNA is filed under the name uncultured bacterium. RNAcentral's name for it is "partial 16S ribosomal RNA". It matches the Rfam family "Bacterial small subunit ribosomal RNA", at positions 30 to 507 of the family's 1533-position model. The record is from RNAcentral.
AUUGAACGCUGGCGGAAUGCUUUACACAUGCAAGUCGAGCGGCAGCACGGGGGCAACCCUGGUGGCGAGCGGCGAACGGGUGAGUAAUACAUCGGAACAUGCCCAGUCGUGGGGGAUAACACUUCGAAAGAAGUGCUAAUACCGCAUACGUCCUGAGGGGGAAAGCGGGGGAUCGCAAGACCUCGCGCGAUUGGAGUGGCCGAUGUCAGAUUAGCUAGUUGGUGGGGUAAAGGCCUACCAAGGCAACGAUCUGUAGCUGGUCUGAGAGGAUGAUCAGCCACACUGGGACUGAGACACGGCCCAGACUCCUACGGGAGGCAGCAGUGGGGAAUUUUGGACAAUGGGGGCAACCCUGAUCCAGCCAUUCCGCGUGAGUGAAGAAGGCCUUCGGGUUGUAAAGCUCUUUCGGCAGGAACGAAACGGUGAGCUCUAACAUAGCUUGCUAAUGACGGUACCUGAAGAAGAAGUACCGGCUAACUACGUG